Molecule: long non-coding RNA, 789 nt
Filed under: Chinchilla lanigera (long-tailed chinchilla)
Lineage: Eukaryota; Metazoa; Chordata; Mammalia; Rodentia; Chinchillidae
Description: lncRNA (ENSCLAG00000024588.1)
Source: RNAcentral
AUGUGUGUGUGCAUGUGUGUACGCACGCAGGCACACACGCAGCGCUGCCCCAGUUACGACUGCUUUCUGGGAUUUUCCAAGCAGGGCCUCUUCAAAUUCCAGACUCCACUGCUGCAGACUUUGGAAGCCUUGCGGGGACAGGCCAGGGCUCUUAGACGGCCAGACAGAGGCCGAGUGCUCUGCCAAAGCCCUUUCUCAGUCCACAGGUUUUCGGAAGCAGCAGCAGGUUUGCGGAAAGGCGCCCGCUCUGCCAGGGAAGGCAAAGGCCCAGGCAGAACCAGAAGGCAGGCCAGGGCUGCGCAGGAGCCUCGUCCAGGAUCUGCAUGGAAACCAAGACCACCAAACGCAGAGCCGUACUCCACCCCGUGUGACAGAGCCCAUCACGCCCUGGCUGCCCGGAAAGCAGGACACACAGCCCAGGGUGGAGCUGCAAGCCGGCUCAGGGCUCAGGAGCGGGCACAGGGUGCCCGCGCCUUCCAGGAACCAUGCAGGUGGAGGUUGCUCUCCUAACUCGGAUUUUCCAAAAGUAAGGAAAAGGCGGAAGGCGGGGUCAGGUUGGGCUGGCUUUUGUCUCAUCACACAGUGAACACUCGGGACCCGUGUGUGUGGCUGGGGCCGAUGAGAUCUCUGCCUCUGAGGACAGGAGGACACAGCAUUUCAUCAUGUUCGGUUCAGUUUACGAUGCAUUUUUGGGCGCCAUGUGUUUAUGCUGCAAAUGUUGUUUUCUCUUGCAAAUUACUUAACAUUCUGGGGCACCAAGGGAUCAGUGCAGGGAGGGUUUUGCUACUC